UCAUUGGUAGUUCAGUGGUAGAAUUCUUGCCUUCCAUUUGGGAGGCCUGGGUUCGAUUCCUGGCCAAUAUA
RNAcentral lists this transfer RNA (71 nucleotides) under Loxodonta africana (African savanna elephant). It matches the Rfam family "tRNA". Rfam says of the family: Transfer RNA (tRNA) molecules are approximately 80 nucleotides in length. The record is from Rfam by way of RNAcentral. Lineage: Eukaryota; Metazoa; Chordata; Mammalia; Proboscidea; Elephantidae.